This 492-nucleotide ribosomal RNA is filed under the name uncultured bacterium. Its description in RNAcentral is "partial 16S ribosomal RNA". It matches the Rfam family "Bacterial small subunit ribosomal RNA", at positions 29 to 507 of the family's 1533-position model. The record is from RNAcentral.
AGUGAACGCUGGCGGUAGGCCUAACACAUGCAAGUCGAACGGCAGCACAGUAAGAGCUUGCUCUUACGGGUGGCGAGUGGCGGACGGGUGAGGAAUACAUCGGAAUCUACUUUUUCGUGGGGGAUAACGUAGGGAAACUUACGCUAAUACCGCAUACGACCUACGGGUGAAAGCAGGGGAUCUUCGGACCUUGCGCGAUUGAAUGAGCCGAUGUCGGAUUAGCUAGUUGGCGGGGUAAAGGCCCACCAAGGCGACGAUCCGUAGCUGGUCUGAGAGGAUGAUCAGCAACACUGGAACUGAGCCACGGUCCAGACUCCUACAGGAGGCAGCAGUGGGGAAUAUUGGACAAUGGGCGCAAGCCUGAUCCAGCCAUACCGCGUGGGUGAAGAAGGCCUUCGGGUUGUAAAGCCCUUUUGUUGGGAAAGAAAAGCAGCAGGUUAAUACCCCGCUGUUCUGACGGUACCCAAAGAAUAAGCACCGGCUAACUUCGUG